GACGAACGCUGGCGGCGUGCUUAACACAUGCAAGUCGAACGGAAAGGCCCUGCUUUUGUGGGGUGCUCGAGUGGCGAACGGGUGAGUAACACGUGAGUAACCUGCCCUUGACUUUGGGAUAACUUCAGGAAACUGGGGCUAAUACCGGAUAGGAGCUCCUGCUGCAUGGUGGGGGUUGGAAAGUUUCGGCGGUUGGGGAUGGACUCGCGGCUUAUCAGCUUGUUGGUGGGGUAGUGGCUUACCAAGGCUUUGACGGGUAGCCGGCCUGAGAGGGUGACCGGCCACAUUGGGACUGAGAUACGGCCCAGACUCCUACGGGAGGCAGCAGUGGGGAAUAUUGCACAAUGGGCGGAAGCCUGAUGCAGCAACGCCGCGUGCGGGAUGACGGCCUUCGGGUGGUAAACCGCUUUCGCCUGUGACGAAGCGCGAGUGACGGUAAUGGGUAAAGAAGCACCGGCUAACUACGU
RNAcentral lists this ribosomal RNA (467 nucleotides) under uncultured bacterium. Its description in RNAcentral is "partial 16S ribosomal RNA". It matches the Rfam family "Bacterial small subunit ribosomal RNA", at positions 28 to 506 of the family's 1533-position model. The record is from RNAcentral.